RNAcentral lists this long non-coding RNA (683 nucleotides) under Dasypus novemcinctus (nine-banded armadillo). Its description in RNAcentral is "lncRNA (ENSDNOG00000051210.1)". Lineage: Eukaryota; Metazoa; Chordata; Mammalia; Cingulata; Dasypodidae. The record is from RNAcentral.
GGGGUGUCACUUCAACGCCCUGAACCUCAAGUGGCUCACCGGGAGACUAGGGCUUGAGAGGACAGAGCUAACAGGGUUAUUGUGUGGAAUAAAUGAGAUAUGCCAUGAGAAGUGCUGACACGGUGCUAACCAGUGCAAUGUGCUGCUGGAGGACUGGAGAUUUGGAGACAUCUUCUCACUUUUCCUCCCUCAUGGGGAAGCACAGGACUCAGCCCUCACAGACGCUUUGUCCGUGAACUGUCGUAUGUUCUUUCUGUCAAGAUGUUGGAGAUGUCAUCCACUGUCAAGAUCUGAAGUCUAGUCAGAACAGAUUUUGCAGCGGGCUGGGAGGAGUGCUCCAUGCCCACUCUGACUUCUAGGAAGGUGCUGGUGGGACUCAACAAAAUAUACCCAGGUGUCUUUGUGUGCAGGUCUAUUUCUGUAUUUAGCCUAGUUGCAGGAAUAAAGAAGAAAAAUCUCUGGCUAUCGGGCUUCCAUUCCACUCAGAAAAUCAGACAGUGACUCUAGACCUCAUGAGCAGGAAGGGUUCAGAGGGAAAUGACAUCCUCAUGUCACCCCGUAGGUGUGAAAGAAACUUCUGUGUCUUGGACGGGGAAAGAAGAGACUUGACACAAGUGAAAAUUGAAAUAUCCUGCUUCCGGGGCGCCUGGCUGGAACGCUGCACAGCAGACACCUUUCCCAUC